This 228-nucleotide unclassified non-coding RNA is filed under the name Hevea brasiliensis (rubber tree). The record is from RNAcentral. Lineage: Eukaryota; Viridiplantae; Streptophyta; Magnoliopsida; Malpighiales; Euphorbiaceae.
CUUUAUAAAUUGGAAUUUGAGAUGUUAAUUUGAUCAUAUUUCAUGUAAUACCUAUUGUUAUCACUUCUAAUCGUGUCCUCAUUUGUCCUUGUUUUCAUGAAUUUUUCUGCUCUUAUGUGGUUGCUUGGCCAUUAUUCUUGUGUUGGUUUUUAAUGGUUUUUCCCUCCCUUUUCAAAUUUGUUGUUAUGCAGUUUUCUCUCUCUCUUAUCUACUUUGGUUGGGAGGUCA